AAACGAUCUUGUCUUAACACAUAGCAUUGUCCAAGAAAUACUUCUCUAGAAACCUUGCCCUGAAGUUGGCCUAGUUGUUGAUCUCACCAUUUGCCUCUGUGAUUUGCUACAUACGCCCCAAAAAAUACUCAAUUUCACCCACCAAUAGAAAAGACACACAUAAACAAGCUUUUUCUCCUCCGAGCAUCCAAUCACCCUAAAAAUCUUCUCUUUCUCUCUUAUCCAAGUGUUUGCUUUGUCGGGUGUAGGCUUCCCGUUGAACUUGGAUGGAUUACGCCUC
Molecule: long non-coding RNA, 280 nt
Filed under: Vigna radiata
Lineage: Eukaryota; Viridiplantae; Streptophyta; Magnoliopsida; Fabales; Fabaceae
Description: long non-coding RNA (VRAD_LNC002720)
Source: RNAcentral